GGAUGCGAUCAUACCAGCACUAAAGCACCGGAUCCCAUCAGAACUCCGAAGUUAAGCGUGCUUGGCGAGAGUAGUACUAGGAUAGGUGACCUCCUGGGAAGUCCUCGUGUUGCAUUCCC
This 119-nucleotide ribosomal RNA is filed under the name Secale sylvestre. RNAcentral also lists the same sequence under 1 other name. The record is from RNAcentral. Lineage: Eukaryota; Viridiplantae; Streptophyta; Magnoliopsida; Poales; Poaceae.